GAGGACUUGGAACAGAGCAACUGUGGCUCUGGCAACAACAGGAAAGUACAUUUUAGAUAACCCUUUAUGGUGCAAGCUGUACAGCCAUUUAAGGGCUUUUCUGUGGGGUUGGAGAAGAAGGGCUGUCCAUCAUCCAAUGUCUAUUGCUAUGGGAAGGGUGCAUGUGACUGCAUAGGUCUUUGGCAAAGGCCACGAGCAUCUGAAGGCUGCUCUGAGAAAUGGAUAUGGGCUCACAGUUCCCCACAGGGUGCUGUGCAGAAGUGAGCAAUCUUCCACCGGUCAUCCCAGUGCAUCAUUCAUUAAACAUAAUGCCCUACAGGAAAAUCAAGGCUUUGUGUUUUCCAUACCCCCUCCUGCAUCAGCCCUGACGUCAGCAGUUUGGAACCACGGAAGUUAAAUUCAGGCCAGUGCAGUCUAAUAGCAAAUGGUAAGAAGUCAAGGUAAUGAGAAAAUACCUGCCAUCUGGAGCUAUCAUAAACAUGAAUUUACAUCUGUCCCCAUGAAAUAAAUAAAUAACAGCCCGCAAAACAUUACAAAGUCCCACUCCUGCCACUGCCACCAAAAAUUUUGGCCUCCCCACUUUCUGUGUGGUGGCUCCUGCCGAAAGCCCCAGGGUGACGUGCCUGGGUGUGGGGAGACAUCUGCAAGCGCUGCCUGCUCGGGUGUGAUGGCUGGAGUGCAGGGAUCUGCUCUGCUGCAUCUGCUCGCUCCAGUCCUCGCUCUGAGGGAAAGUUUUCCUCCUGGCUCUGACAGCACCGCAGCCGCUUGGGGAAGCACAUGACUUCCUUGGGAGAUGGUGUUUCUUAUUUGUGUUGCAGGCCUCCAGCAGGCAUGGCACCGAGGCAAUAUUUAUAUCAGUUUUUGUAACAUCAUUGCAGCAGCUGCAAUUUUAGGAACUGAAGUGCUGGCUGGAAGUGGGAGAGAGAGGCACAAAGCACAACAUGCCACAUAGAAAUGUGGAUGCAAGGGAAAAAAAAAAAAAAGGAAAGAAAAGAAAAGAAAAUUGGCAACCAGCCUCCUCCCCCAGAAAGCUCAUUGUGUUUCCCAGUGCCAGGGGUGCUGUUUGCCCUCCAGAUGGUUACCACAGGGCCCAUCUGUGUAAAAGUGAGUCAAUGGCAAUUGCAGCUCAGGAUGUGUGUGAUGGGAUCUGAUCUGUCCCCUCAGGGUGCUUCCACUCCUGGUGGAGUAGGACAGGGGAAGGGGAGUCCUCCAGCCAGGUGGCUUUCUGUGCUACAAGCCAAAGAGUGUUCAGCAAUCUUCUCAUGCCCUUCAGCUGUGAGAAAACAUAGUGCAACACUUGUGUGCAGUUAUGUCUGACAGAGGAGGUGCCACACAGUCUUCAGUUACCUUAGAG
Molecule: long non-coding RNA, 1354 nt
Filed under: Chloebia gouldiae (Gouldian finch)
Lineage: Eukaryota; Metazoa; Chordata; Aves; Passeriformes; Passeridae
Description: Erythrura gouldiae (Gouldian finch) lncRNA (ENSEGOG00005006738.1)
Source: RNAcentral